Molecule: ribosomal RNA, 859 nt
Filed under: uncultured fungus
Lineage: Eukaryota; Fungi
Description: SSU rRNA
Rfam family: Eukaryotic small subunit ribosomal RNA
Source: RNAcentral
GUUGCAGUUAAAGCUCGUAGUUGACCUUGGGCCUGGCUGGCCGGUCCGCCUCACCGCGUGCACUGGUCCGGCCGGGCCUUUCCUUCUGGGGAGCCGCAUGCCCUUCACUGGGUGUGUCGGGGAACCAGGACUUUUACUUUGAAAAAAUUAGAGUGUUCAAAGCAGGCCUAUGCUCGAAUACAUUAGCAUGGAAUAAUAGAAUAGGACGUGUGGUUCUAUUUUGUUGGUUUCUAGGACCGCCGUAAUGAUUAAUAGGGAUAGUCGGGGGCAUCAGUAUUCAAUUGUCAGAGGUGAAAUUCUUGGAUUUAUUGAAGACUAACUACUGCGAAAGCAUUCAUCAAGGAUGUUUUCAUUAAUCAGUGAACGAAAGUUAGGGGAUCGAAGACGAUCAGAUACCGUCGUAGUCUUAACCAUAAACUAUGCCGACUAGGGAUCGGGCGAUGUUACUAUAUUGACUCGCUCGGCACCUUUCGAGAAAUCAAAGUUUUUGGGUUCUGGGGGGAGUAUGGUCGCAAGGCUGAAACUUAAAGAAAUUGACGGAAGGGCACCACCAGGAGUGGAGCCUGCGGCUUAAUUUGACUCAACACGGGGAAACUCACCAGGUCCAGAUACACGUAGGAUUGACAGAUUGAGAGCUCUUUCUUGAUUGUGUAGUUGGUGGUGCAUGGCCGUUCUUAGUUGGUGGAGUGAUUUGUCUGCUUAAUUGCGAUAACGAACGAGACCUUCAUCGUUAAAUAGCCCGGCUCGCUUUGGCGUGUCGCUGGCUUCUUAGCGAGACUUUUGGCUUAGCCAAAGGAGUUGGAGGCAUAACAGGUCUGUGAUGCCCUUAGAUGUCUGGCUGCACGCGCGCUACACUGAC